Molecule: non-coding RNA, 1986 nt
Organism: Macaca mulatta (Rhesus monkey)
Lineage: Eukaryota; Metazoa; Chordata; Mammalia; Primates; Cercopithecidae
Source: RefSeq, a predicted model, not a curated record
CUUAAUGGCCUCAGCUUCUUCCUUGUCAAGGAUGCCUUUCUCCACAUAAGCAUCAGCUUGUUGGUUGAUGAAAUCUCUCAUCUUCGAAAGGUCAUAAUCUGGAAAAUAUUAUUACAGCAUCAUGAACAAAGAUCAGGAAAGGCCAAUCCCAUUACAGUGAUUACCAUUAACUGAGAAGCAUUUUAUAUGAUAACCCAAUUACCAUUCUCCAUUUUUCACAUUGGGAGACAUUUUAAUUCGUGGCAUUUGUGCAGUACUUUGUGGUAUAAAGUAAUGUUUACAUGUAUUAUCUCAUCUGCUCUUCAUCACAACCCUGUGAGAUGUUCAGCUGCAGCCACUGCAUAGCCCUAGGACCUAGAUCCCCCCACAGGCUUUGAGAGAUGACCCCAAGUCAAGCAGAGCACAUAUGAGAGCAGUGGAGAAAGAGUUUCUGUCUUGAAGAGAGCAUACUGCAUAUUUCCCGGAGACAAAAGGGAGCAUCGAACCCAAUGCUAUUAUUCUGAAGUUUCCUAACAGAGCCUUCCAUAUGCAAGCACCAGAGUUCCAUGCUUCACCAGGAGCUGUAAAGCAAAUCUUCUAUUUACACAGUAGGCACUGAAAACCUUAUGAGAGUCGACUUUGGAAAGCUGGACUAUUUUUUUCCUCAAUUUAUUUCAUCUUCCUUUGGAAAAAAAAAUAGCUCAUGGCUGAGGUAAUAGAGCACAAGCCUUAAAACAUACGCUGAAGCAGAUGGGAAAAGGGCCAGAAUCAAGAUGCAGCCUUGUUUUUCUGGCUGUUCUGGUUUUUAACACUGUGAGAAAAAUAUCUUUUCUAAACAUGAAUUUGUCCUUACUCUGCUAUGCUGUCCUGACUGUCUCCCUCUGGGGAAAGUGUAUAAAUCAAUCAGGUUGGCCUAUUGCAUACUGCAUGUACUAAAGACAUUAGGUUUUGUAAAAGAGUGUUUAUAAAAAUUAAAGUUUGAUAUAAUACUUAAAAUUAUGCCAAGAUUACAUGACUGCACUUUUGAACUGGAUGAAGCAAAGCAACUGAUACUGAUGCAUGGGUGCCGACACAGGCCACAGAGCUGUGAGAUUCAAGAUUCUGCAUAAUGAUGACAUUUUACAUGCCCAUUAGAUGCAGCAUGGAAGACUGGAAGAGCACUGGAAGAAGAGUCAGGAAACAUGGGUUCAAGGCCAGCUCCACCACUCUGGCCAUGAGGUCUUGAGCAAGUCGCUCAUAUUCUGGGCCUUGUUUUACUGGUUUGUAAAUCAAGGGGUGAAUGCUAAAAAGGAGACUCAUGAUUUGUACAUAUAGAAAGAAAUUCCCUUUUGUUGUCCUUGAAAAAUCCAUAUUGAUAUAUGGCUCUCCCAAGCCGACUUGGGACUUCCUCACCCACUUGCGGACUCCCAGGGGAGAAUAUUGGACUCCUGAUUUUUGGACAUUUCUAGCAGAAUCCCCGGAGACUUGAAGGGAGGUGUGAAUUCUCUUAUGUUGCUUAAAAAAUAAGUGUAUCCACAUGAAUUAGGCAAUUUAUUAUCAAUUUAUUAAAUAGGCUAACUUUUCUGGCUCCUGUAAAAAAGAUAUGACGAUGAUAGGACAUUUAAGUGAAAGUUACCUUAGAGAUCACCUUUUCCAACCUAAUUUUAUUGUCCAGCCAUAAACUUAAAUGAUAGCACUGGAGUGAGUUUAUGGGUGUUAUAAUGCUUAUCUCAUCCCUUGGAUGAUUUAAAAAAAAGACUUUCAGUGACCCACAGAACAGAUGUGAAUGAGUAAACAUCCAACUGGCAAAAAGAGCCACACUUAGAUUAUGAAAUAAAGUUUGAAAGCAGUUUUCUUUGGUCUUCAGAGAGCAAUUUACUUGAAAAGUUAAGCAACUUCAUAGAUUUGGUUGAAGUUAGAAUAAAUUAUAAUUUAUUAGAAUAUGCAUAAAAAUUUAGGAAUAAUUAUUGAAUCAGUCAAACAACUAGACCAACAUUGAAAAACACUAUUCUUAAUGUGGGUCCCUGU